GGGCUGAUAGCUCAGUGGGAAGAGCGUCAGAUUAAGUCUAAAGGUUGUGGGUUCAAUCCCCGCUUAGUUCC
Non-coding RNA from Diaporthe sp. PMI_573, 71 nucleotides. NCBI's taxonomy places the organism in Eukaryota, Fungi, Ascomycota, Sordariomycetes, Diaporthales, Diaporthaceae. The record is from the annotation of a GenBank genome assembly.